RNAcentral lists this ribosomal RNA (116 nucleotides) under Atta colombica. Lineage: Eukaryota; Metazoa; Arthropoda; Insecta; Hymenoptera; Formicidae. The record is from RNAcentral.
GACAACUUCCAUAUCACGUUAAAACUCUUAAAAACUUAGUUCUCACUCCGAUCACUGAAGUUGAGCACGGUUAGUACUUGGAUGGGACCGCUUGGGAACACCGUGUGAUGUUGUCC